CAAGGUAACCUGUCUGAUUAAUGGUGUUUGAAAUUUUGAAUCACGUAACACGUAGCAAUCGACCAAUCGUAGCAAGAACGCAGUCUCAACGAUCACUUUUUUGGACGUGGAUGCACAAAAUUAAAAUUACAAAUAUGUGGUCAUCGUUAUGUGAACUUUGGUGUCACAGCUCUUCAGGCUCUGCUCUCCACUCCAUGCUGUUUGGCGGAUUUGACGCCUGAGCCAGCCAUCGUAACAGCCAAGUUUUGCUUGUGCUGGACCUCCAGUCGUAUGAUUUGACUGAUGACCUGUCAUCAGCAACAUCACAGUAUCAUUGCUUAGAUAAACAGCAUCCUCUUUAAUUGGAGGAACUUCCAGUAUCGGCCGAGUUAAGGAUCUCUUCAAUUCACCUUUCUUUUCUUUUUGUCCUCGUGUACGCCCAUGUGAAUGUGGGUGUAUUCACGAGGACUCCCUUUUACCUAGAUCCCUCCUGGUGGAUUCAACUGGAGGGAACUUUCGGUGGUUGGAGCAACUUCUGGAUGCCUGGCUGUAUUUCCCAGGCUUCAAGAAGUCGUUGCUGAGUACGGAGUACGAUUAUUCCUGGGCCAUGCAGUUGGCCGAAACUGUUUCAUCUUGCUGUGUUUGUUUUUCUUAGUUAGGGUUCAUUAAAUAGCUCACGUGAAGAACCACUGCAGAUCAG
Daphnia pulicaria is the source of this 679-nucleotide long non-coding RNA. RefSeq lists it as uncharacterized. The transcript is spliced from 4 exons. NCBI's taxonomy places the organism in Eukaryota, Metazoa, Arthropoda, Branchiopoda, Diplostraca, Daphniidae. The record is from RefSeq and is a predicted model, not a curated record.